GAUCAUGGCUCAGGAUGAACGCUAUCUACAGGCUUAACACAUGCAAGUCGAGGGGAAACGACAUCGAAAGCUUGCUUUUGAUGGGCGUCGACCGGCGCACGGGUGAGUAACGCGUAUCCAACCUGCCUACCACUUGGGGAUAACCUUGCGAAAGAAAGAUUAAUACCUGAUGGUAUCUUAAGCACACAUGUAAUUAAGAUUAAAGAUUUAUCGGUGUACGAUGGGGAUGCGUUCCAUUAGGUAG
Molecule: ribosomal RNA, 244 nt
Filed under: uncultured bacterium
Lineage: Bacteria
Description: partial 16S ribosomal RNA
Rfam family: Bacterial small subunit ribosomal RNA
Source: RNAcentral